UGCAAGUUUUCAAAAUAAAACUCAGAGCUUAAUUGUAUGACACCCUCAAGUCUCUUAUUAUGUAGUAUUUAUGGAUCUCACUGAGGCAUUAACAAGGUUAUGCCUUCCUACAACUAAGGAUAUAUAUAGUGGAGCUUAUAGGAGUGGCAAUAACAAGGAUGAGCAUACUUGCAAUUCAUAUAUUGUAAAGUCAAACAAUGGAUCCACAGAGAAUCAAGGCAUACAAUCAAAUCAAGAUAUACGUGUGUAUGGAAUAUAGUAGAUAGGUGUAUAUAUAGUAUUUAGUGGCUAAUCUUAAUUCUACUUUUGCUCUUGAAAAUUACUCCCUCGUUAGAACUUUUCACAGGAAAACAUGGGCUAUCUUUAUUCUUUCUUUCUUUUUUUAUAUAUCUGAGAGGCGGGCAUCUAUGUACACAUUGUUUUAAUUGUUGGGACACUUGUCCAUCUUUUACUCCCCUCUUUUUUUCUUUUUUUAAAUACAUUUGCAUAGCCACAGGCAUCCUUUGAAUAUAAAUAAUCGGAGAGAUAAUGAUAAGAACUUAGAGCAAUUAAAUGGGGGCUGUCCUAUAGGGUAUAUUUUUGGGUGUUUACUCCUAGUGUAGGAGAAAAAACAUUUUUAAGGUGGAUCUAGAUGAAAAUGGAAAAUAACUACGCUUAUUCUCAGAGUAGGAGCAAUGCAUAUGUAGGUGGAGUGCGUAAGUGAUCUUAAUUUUAAAAGCAUGACAAGACUCUCAUUAGGUAUACUCCAAAGGUUGACUAAACUCAAUGUAAAGCAAGCAGCAUGAAUUCUCAAAGGUUUUCCAAACUUAAAUGUAUCAUAUAUGGCUUUGGUAGGAAUUUAAACUUUAUCAUACAAGAGCUCAUCAUGUAAGAUUUUGGGUUUUUGAAAAUAAAUCUCCAAAACUUAGUAAUGCUAGGAGUAAGAUAAAUACCAGCUUAGACCUUCAUGUAUUAAUCAGUUACCUAGACUUAGCUCAAGCAUAUGCCUCCACAAAUUUCAGGUUCAGAGUAAAUUCUUAUAUUAAAGUGGUCAUAUCCAAAACUCAGGAUAAUUCAUAGUUGAAAGCUAGGCACUUGAAAGGAAUUACUCUAGAGCAACUAUUCAUCAUCUCCAAGACAAAAUUUUAAUAUUCUCUAAUUUUUAUUUGACUCUAAACUAGACUGACUGUAGACACACUCUGAUGAUCACACCUUAAUAUAUAGAUAAGUAUUUUGCUUGGUUGUUAUUUAUUUCUAUUGGACUCAGAAGACUCUAAAGAUAUGGACCUUCAUGUGCCCUUAUAUUUUUGGUAUUUUUAUAAUUUCUUAUGAUACUAUCAUGAACCUUCAUGUGCUCACAUAUUUUUGGUAUUUUAUGACUAUAUUAAAUAGACUCGAUAAUCGCCUAGGUAUAGUUACCUGAUAACUAGGGGAUGCUCCUCCCCCAAGCUAGAUGUUUGCAAUAGUUGGUGUUGAUGAUCUUAAGAGUGACCUAACCGGCAGCGCUCCAGGUGGGUGCCACUAAUAGACUCUCUCCUUGUCAUAAUGUUGUUCCUGCAAAAUUACACUCCAAAAAGGAAAACCAAAACCCGUGGCAGGCAAAACAGGUUAACCGUGGAGGGCAAGGCAACCGCCAC
RNAcentral lists this long non-coding RNA (1616 nucleotides) under Sorghum bicolor (sorghum). Its description in RNAcentral is "long non-coding RNA (SBIC_LNC009937)". Lineage: Eukaryota; Viridiplantae; Streptophyta; Magnoliopsida; Poales; Poaceae. The record is from RNAcentral.